This is a long non-coding RNA of Chloebia gouldiae (Gouldian finch), 3307 nucleotides long. NCBI's taxonomy places the organism in Eukaryota, Metazoa, Chordata, Aves, Passeriformes, Passeridae. The record is from Ensembl.
CUUUGACUGCGGUGCGAGUGUAAAAGUCAUCAUUAACAAGAACAUGUCUUCACAGGCCCAGGCAGCCCUGAAAAGUUAUGGUGAAAACAAUGUCAAUGGCUCCCUUCACCUUCAUUCAAAUGGAAAGGAAAUGCUGAUGCUGGAGGUCGAUAUGAACAAUGAAAAGAGGAGGAAUGCCAGAAUUGUUGAACUGAGGGCUUUUCUCCAUCAGACUGUCCUGACAAAUCCAGAAUCGGUACAGUUCCAGCUCAUGGGUAAAAUAUUUCCAUCAAGACUUCUGUUGUCUUCUGACUUGAAGCUUAAUGAAAAUAGGCUUCACAUGGAUUUCCUGGGAGCCAGGGAGCAGAAAGUUGGUUUUGUUUUGUCUCUAAAUGGAAGAGUCCAACACACUUUUACUGGAUUAAAGGCCAUACCUCAUCUCCUUUCUCUGGAUGGAUUACUGAAGUGCAAAAACAACGUUCACGAUGGUAACAUCAAUGUGAUGGUCAACAAAAGACUGUAUGGACUGCAUGUCAGGAACAGGAAUGUGUUUGGGAAUACCACUGUGCACAAUAUCACUGUUGCUGUCGUUCAGAAUGGCAGUCAGGCAAUCCCAGGGGAGGCAAGACUGAAAGGACACCUGGAACUGAGUAAAGAGAAGAAAGCGGGGCUCGUUAGCUUCCAGGUGGAUGAGAAGGCUCUUUCUGUAGAUUUUUUCAAUAUCAUGGAUAAUGGGCACGGCAGAGUCAGUGGGACUUUCACACAUAAUGUCGACUUUUUAAAAAAUGCAGGGCUGCCUUUGGAUGGCAUUCUUAGUGCCACACGCGAGCAUGGCACAGGAAAUGACACCAUUGCCAUAGCCCUGCAGAGUGGCAGUGAAAGGAUUGUUGCUGUGUUCGAGGGGCACAGACUGGCCACAGAGCCUCCAACAUUCCAGCUAUCUGUGAGCUUAAAGCACAACAUCUCAAAGAUAAAGAAUCAUGGGAUCCCUUUUGUUUUAGAAGCUGCUGGCUAUUAUGAGAAUUUCUCCAAAAAGAUUGCUGCAGGGAUAACAACCACAGUGGAGACAGAGCAGCUCAAGAUUGCAAUAGAGAAGAAAACCACUGGCACUGCUAUGGAAGUUUCUCUUUUACUUCACCAUGAUGUGGGAGGACUGAUGGACAUCGUUCCACAUGUACUAGAGGUUGCUUGCAGUGGAGAAUCUGCUAACAAACAGCUUUCUGGCCUUUGCAAUGGUGCAAUUGCAUUUCAUCAUUUUGAGACUCCAGCAAGAGUUUCACUGAAUGGGUCAAUAUUUACCAGCAACUUUACUGUCAUCUUCUUUGGACAUGUUUCUUUUCAUGAUAUAUUUGCCUGUCUGCAACUCUAUGCCACCAGUAACACCCAUCCUCAUUUAGAAAUUGACUUCCAGCAUUCUUUGCCUUUACUUCAUUCUCUGGGAAUUGCCAGAGAGAACCAACUGAAGGUGUCAGCCAUGAGAAGUGACAAGUACAAGGGCAUCCUUGGUAUUGUGCUUGGGCCUUGCACUUUGGAGGCUGAUGGGGAAGUGAGCCUGGCAAGCAAUGAGACGGGAUGGGUACUUGCUUUUAGAAACAAGUGCAUCACUCUAGAGAGGAUGGGAUUGCCUCAUGCUGCAGUCUUGGGGGGCUCAUUUCAACAGAACAUCUGCAACGUGGGCUUGUUAAUGAACCUGCAGUGUGAUGGCAGAGCAAUGGAUGUGCAGAUAGACACCUCCUGUCAGCAUGAAUAUACACUCCAAGGGAUGCUCAGGCAUUCAUUUCCCUGGCUCAGCCAGCUUGGGCUGCCUUUUGAAAACUCAGUCCUGUUCUCUGCAGCCACAGACUCCACCACAGAGGUCAUUCUCCUGCUGCAGGCUGGCAGAUGCAGACUGAGGGCUAGAGGGGAUCUCUGUGUUCAGAAUAAAGCUGACUGGACCCUGGAAACAGAAGCAGAAUGUCAACUUCUGCAGGAUCUCAGUUUCCCAACUCAGUCACGGCUCACAGGAUCCAUUCAGAAAGAGAAGUGCCAGGCAGAAUUGCUCUCUGUCCUGGAAACAGAAGGCAAAACUGCCCAUCUUGAAGUGAGAGCAGAGUGCAAGCCAAAGAUGGCUCUGGAAAUUCAAUUCAGGCACAACCUCCCUCAGCUGAAGGAAAUCCCAAGGGAAAAUGAGCUGUCCAUCAGUGCACGGAAACACUUAAAGUAUCUUCUUGGAGUUGGGAUGAAACUGGGUGCCUGUGAGCUUCAGAUGAAUGGGGACUUUGACCCUGAAAAGAACCUGCAGUGGAAAAUGCUUAUAGAAAACAAAUGCCAAACAAUUCAGGAUCUUGGAGCACCAAUGAAAAUUGAUGGCUCAGGCUAUCUUUUGAUGGAUAAGAUGAACCUAGAUUCACAGACACUGGUCACUGUUGAUGAAAGUAAAUUCCGAGGACUCUUUAUACUAAAAGUCACUGAUGAAAGGCAAGAGCUGGAUGUGGUGCUAACCCAUAACAUCCAAGGAGCUGCUGACAUUGGCAUUCCCAUGAGGAUGUUACUUGAUGUGGUAUCAGAAAAAAACAGUAAUUUCUAUAAAGGAUUUAUUAAUUUCUGUGUGAACGACAAGCAAAUUACAGAAGAACUGAACUUUGUCCAGAAGUUGGAUGUUGUGUCUCUUAACUACAAACUUAUUCAUAACAUAGACACAUUGAAGACUUUGCAAAUAAAAGACAGGAUUGAGUUGCAGGCUAUCUUGAACCUCAAAGUCACCAGGAGCUUUAGUUUGAAAGUGCUUUAUGGUGCUCACCUAACAGUUCUUGAAGGACAAAUUCAGGAGUUUGAAACAAGUACCAACAUAACAGGGAAUUUCCAUCACUCUUUGCCAUGGCUGCUGCAAGUCAGAGUCCCAUCAUCUUUACAGAUAGAUGUGGUUUUUCAAGGGAGAAACACCACUCAAGAGAGAUAUGUGCACAUUGCAGCUGGAGAAACAUCAAUCACAUACAUAAUAAACUCCUAUUAUGUUGGCCACCAAGUGGAUCUCUUCUGCCAGAGUGUGCACAGCAGUGAGGUCCUCCAGGCAUCUGGCUACCCUAAGGCAAUCAACUUGAUUUUCAGUUUACAGAAAUCAGGAAACAAAGCCAAGACUGUCUGUGAAAUCCAAUAUGACGAGAAAGAUAUAACUGUGACUGUGGAUGUUGACACAGACUUUGAACUCUUUGGUGUAUUUGUGUUCGUGGCAGAGGUGAAGCAUUCAAUAUCACUUCUCCAUCACCUGGGACUUCCCUUCUUUCUUAAGGAAGCAUCCAGAAGGCCUGUCUGGAAGAUAAACUUCAGUCAAGAUGAUGGUUUUAAGUGA